UAGCUUCUUUCUUUUACGUGUAGGUAAUUUGUUGGUGCUGGAUAUCAAAUGAUUUCAUCAGACAUUUCUGCAUGCUUAGAUACUUCCAUGGUUCAAGAGAUCAUGGGAAAAGGGAACAGAUAAAAGCCAAAAAAAUCAAACAUAGGCUCUAAAAAGGUUCGAUGGCUGGAUGAAACUAGCUGUGUUCGUUGAUCACAGCUGACGGGUCAACAGCAGCGUCUGUGCGUCUCUCUCACCUCCAGGAUGGAGGGGCUGCUGCGGCUGCGUCUACCCGGAGCUUGAGGAGCCUUCCUGGGCUUCGUCUGUGUCAUCUUCCCCCUGUAUCUCUCUGCCCUAGUCCCCCUAUACUCAUCCAUCACUCGACCUCUGCAGUACAAGAGAGCAUCUGGACCCACACAACACCUUCCCCUAAUCCCCCACACUGAGUUGCCAGGGAAACCAUGGACGGACUACGCCUGCCACCGGUCAUCGAGGAGGUCAUGGACCCUGCAGAUGACAUAUGUGACCUGAAGGUGGAGAGGCCUGGCAUUGUGGACAUGCGGACGGCCAAAGAGAGGGAGACCCUGGAGGAGAACGAUGAGAAGCAGGAGAAAGGGAAGGAGGUGGAGGUGGGGAACGGAGAGAAGGGCCAGCAGGAGGACCAGGGAGAGGAGAAGGAGGUGAAAGUGGAGGAGGAGGAGGAGGUGGAAGGAGGAAUGUUAGAGGAGGAUGACUUGGAGGAGUUGAAGUCCCAGGUGUUGCAGCUGGUGUUGGAGCUGGAGGAGGCCAGGGAGGUGUCUCAACAACAUGAAGAGAGCUUCAUGGAGAUCCAGGGUCUGUUGGAAGAUGAGCGUCUGGCUAGUGCUCACCAGGCAGAGAGCUUUACCAGACAGAUCCAGAGACUGCAAGCUCAGCUGCGUUCGGUCCAGGAGGAGAUGGACUCUCUGGAGGAGGAGAAGGAGAGUGAGCUGGGGGAGGUGCAGGAGGAGCUGAGGUCUGCCCAGGAGGAGGUACUGGUUUUGCAGCAGGCGGGGGAGGAGACAGCAGCGGAGAGGGAGAACGACAUCGCCUCCCUGCAGGAGGAGCUGUGUCGUCUGAGGGCCGAGCUGCAGCGUCUCCGUACCACGGCCCAAGAGUACGAGCAGGAGAUCACCACCCUGCGGGCUGAAAUCAGUAUGAAGAGCAUGAGGAGGGAGGGAGAGACUGACGGUGAGGUAAGCCAGCUGACGGCGGAGUGUCAUGCGAUUUCAGACGAGUGUCAGACCCUGAAGGAUGAAAACAAACAGCUGAGCCACAAACUGCAGCAGCUACAGCAGCAGCGAGCCGGCUCCAAUGAUUUCUAUCUGGCCUUGAGAGGGGAGGGGGACGAAGACCAGAAGGAUGAGGGUGUUGGGCAGGAUGAGGAAUCAGUGAAAGCUGGAGGCUACAUGACCCUGUCCCAGACCCAGGGUGGGCAGACCCAGGGUGGGCAGACCCAGACUGGGAAAGGUGGGCGCUUGGUGGAUGCCUCCAUCCAGAAGAAUAUCUCGUUUGAUGGCAAGCCCAUCACCAACUGGAACGGGGGACCCUCUGAAGUCUUCUCCCUACGAGACCAGCUCAAACUGACUGAGGAGAGGUCCUCGCAAGUACAGAGACAAUGUGAAGGGUUGAAGGGGGAGCUUGCGGAACUUCAGGGGCUGUUUGACUGCAGCCAGAAGGAGAGGGCGGAGCUGGAGCAGGAACUGCAUCACUGCAGGGUGGAGCUAGAGAGGCUGGGCGGCAGGAAGUCACAGAACUGCACUCCUCCGUCUGAGCCCCCUGUUCUCUCCAUCUCCUUCAUAGGAAUGAUUGUAAUAAUGGCCCUGAUAUGGUGCUGGUGGGAGGAGCUGGCGUCCUAGAGGGGACCAGCUAAUAACACCACUCAAGUCUUCUCUCUUCUCACAAAAGAGUGUGUAGGAGAGCGAGGGAGGCUGGAACCUGGUGGCGGCGGUUGCAGUGGCAGCGCUUGUAGUCCUGAUAGUCCCCAGCCUUUCCAGAGCGUUUACCUGAGGACUACACAGAACGGAAGUCACUGUACAGGAAAUGACUGUGCUGGUUUCCCCUGGCAACAUGGGCAAUGCCAUGCCCCUAUCUCAUGAUGCCCUUAUCAAGUCUCCUCCUAGCUUCAUCUUCCAAGGAGGACUGCAUUGACAACUGACAUUUUCACCAGGAAAUACAACACAACAAGAAAGUAGUCUCAAGGAGAAAUACGUAUACCUGUUUAAGCCACUCUAAAGAUAAGGACGGCAAUAUCUUGUUUCUCUCUUUAAAGUCCUUCAGUUUGACUCAAUCGAUUUCUCUAUAACAGGGACUGCCUCCGAGUUUGUGGCAGUACGGUGUCUGCAUGGGUGUCAAUGGAAAGACACAAUUUAGCACAGAACAUGUCUGCGCAUUUAUUGAUUGAUCGGUUGAGGGUUUAUUAUUUGAUUGGUUGAUGGUUGAUUGGUUUAUUGACAACCUGUAAAGGUUGAAUUGGGAAAAGCUCAUGCACAUAUUGAGUCACUGAUGAGAUUUGUCUCUUUCCAAUGGGCAUGUGAUCUUUCCCCAGAACCUACCCCUCCUUUUGAAUCACUUUGACCAUUGCCACUGCAAUUGUCUCCGCUACACCUGUAACACCUGUCCUUCUGUUUAUGUUGUGGCAUGCUCUUUUUACGUUUUAAAUGAAGAUGUGUGGAGGAGGGUUUGAUUAUAUGAGUUUGUUGUAUUGGA
Oncorhynchus gorbuscha (pink salmon) is the source of this 2706-nucleotide RNA transcript. It is a transcript of the gene named coiled-coil domain-containing protein 136-like, with no coding region annotated. Lineage: Eukaryota; Metazoa; Chordata; Actinopteri; Salmoniformes; Salmonidae. The record is from RefSeq and is a predicted model, not a curated record. The transcript is spliced from 12 exons.